AAUUUGAGAGGAGCUGUCCUUAGUACGAGAGGACCGGGAUGGACAUACCUCUGGUGUACCAGUUGUCGUGCCAACGGCAUAGCUGGGUAGCUAUGUAUGGACGGGAUAAGUGCUGAAAGCAUCUAAGCAUGAAGCCCCCCUCAAGAUGAGAUUUCCCAACUUCGGUUAUAAGAUCCCUCGAAGAUGACGAGGUUAAUAGGUUCGAGGUGGAAGCGUGGUGACACGUGGAGCUGACGAAUACUAAUCGAUCGAAGACUUAAUCAA
Molecule: ribosomal RNA, 264 nt
Filed under: Streptococcus pyogenes
Lineage: Bacteria; Bacillati; Bacillota; Bacilli; Lactobacillales; Streptococcaceae
Also listed under: 1 other name
Description: partial 23S ribosomal RNA
Rfam family: Bacterial large subunit ribosomal RNA
Source: RNAcentral